GAUGAACGCUGGCGGCGUGCCUAAUACAUGCAAGUCGAGCGAACGGACGAGACUCUUGCUUCUCUUAUGUUACCGGCGGACGGGUGAGUCACACGUGGAUACCCUACCUAUAAGACUGGGAUAACUUCGGGGAACCUGAUCUAGUACCGGAUAUGAUUUUGAACGUCUGGGUUCAUCGGACAUCACGGUAUUUGCUGUGCCUAAGUCAGGUUCCCGCGUUGCAUUAGCUAGUUGGUAAGGUAACGGCUUACCAAGGCAACGAUGCAUAGCCGACCUGAGAGGGUGAUCAGCCACACUGGAACUGAGACACGGUCCAGACUCCUACGGGAGGCAGCAGUAGGGAAUCUUCCGCAAUGGGCGAAAGCCUGACGGAGCAACGCCGCGUGAGUGAUGAAGGUCUUCGGAUCGUAAAACUCUGUUAUUAGGGAAGAACAUAAGUGUAAGUAACUGUGCACAUCUUGACGGUACCUAAUCAGAAAGCAACGGCUAACUACGUG
This 497-nucleotide ribosomal RNA is filed under the name uncultured bacterium. RNAcentral's name for it is "partial 16S ribosomal RNA". It matches the Rfam family "Bacterial small subunit ribosomal RNA", at positions 28 to 507 of the family's 1533-position model. The record is from RNAcentral.